UCUUUUUUAUGUUGAGCACUGGGAUCUGUUCUAUAGGCUCGUACCACUGUAUCCUUGAGUUCUAAGGAGACAGGAAAUCAAGUUUGGUGGAUGAACAAGGUCCAUUAGACCAGAGCGUGAUUAACAACUUUCAUGGUCCUCGGGUUAUGGUGCUGUAGAUGAUCGUUCUCGGCUCCAAUCAUGGGUGUGCCGGGAUGGUCUAAUGGUUGUCUGACAGACU
Small nucleolar RNA from Lycium barbarum (goji berry), 220 nucleotides. RefSeq annotates it as small nucleolar RNA U3. The transcript has a single exon. NCBI's taxonomy places the organism in Eukaryota, Viridiplantae, Streptophyta, Magnoliopsida, Solanales, Solanaceae. The record is from RefSeq and is a predicted model, not a curated record.